This 253-nucleotide ribosomal RNA is filed under the name uncultured bacterium. RNAcentral's name for it is "partial 16S ribosomal RNA". It matches the Rfam family "Bacterial small subunit ribosomal RNA", at positions 524 to 776 of the family's 1533-position model. The record is from RNAcentral.
UACGUAGGGUGCAAGCGUUGUCCGGAAUUAUUGGGCGUAAAGGGCUCGUAGGCGGUCCAUCGCGUCGGGAGUGAAAAGCUGGGGCUUAACCCCAGUCCUGCUUCCUAUACGGGUGGACUAGAGGUAGGUAGGGGAGAACGGAAUUCCUGGUGUAGCGGUGAAAUGCGCAGAUAUCAGGAGGAACACCAGUGGUGAAGGCGACUCUUUGGCCUGUAACUGACGCUGAGGCGCGAAAGCGUGGGGAGCAAACAGG